This 493-nucleotide ribosomal RNA is filed under the name uncultured bacterium. Its description in RNAcentral is "partial 16S ribosomal RNA". It matches the Rfam family "Bacterial small subunit ribosomal RNA", at positions 29 to 507 of the family's 1533-position model. The record is from RNAcentral.
ACGAACGCUGGCGGCGUGCUUAACACAUGCAAGUCGAACGGUGAAGCGCCUUCCUUUUUGGUGGGUGUGGAUGAGUGGCGAACGGGUGAGUAACACGUGAGUAACCUGCCCCCUUCUUCUGGAUAACCGCAUGAAAGUGUGGCUAAUACGGGAUAUUCUGGGUCUGUCGCAUGAUGGGUCUGGGAAAGAUAUUGUUUCGGUGGGGGAUGGGCUCGCGGCCUAUCAGCUUGUUGGUGGGGUGAUGGCCUACCAAGGCGGUGGCUGGUAGCCGGCCUGGGAGGGUGGACGGUCACACUGGGGCUGAGACACGGCCCAGACUCCUACGGGAGGCAGCAGUGGGGAAUAUUGCACAAUGGGCGCAAGGCUGAUGCAGCGACGCCGCGUGAGGGAUGGAGGCCUUCGGGUUGUGAACCUCUUUCGCCAGUGAAGCAGGCCUGCCUCGUUUGUGGGUGGGUUGACGGUAGCUGGAUAAGAAGCGCCGGCUAACUACGUG